UGAUCCAUUUUGCUUCAUAUUGGUUCAGAUGCAAGCUCAUUUUAUACUUUGCAUGUCUUCAGAUUGAAUAGUUAUUAAAGUCGAGCGUCAGCUUGCACCUAGGCGAGAACUCCAGGCGAAGUGCAUUAAAUGCACAUAUGGUCCAAGGCAUUUAAAGCGAUUCCCACGUGCACUUAAUUAGAUGGGUCUAGAUGCCGAUCUUGGUCCAGGUGAGCUCGAUGUAACAAAUCCUGGACUGGUUUGCAGAAGGUGGAAAAAGUUGGGGCAAACGGUCUGUUUUGCUACCUUGUGGAGGUCGUCGUUGGCUCGAAACGCUGCUGAGUUUAAUGGGAGAUCAAUGUCGGUGCUGGAAAUAGUGGAAAUAAUCAAAGAAGACUCCUAUAUUUGGUUUAAAAAUAGGACUAGGGAUAAGUUAAUAGAUUGGUGGCUGGCUUAUGUUUAAUGUAAAUGCAGUUUUGUAACUUGGCUUGCCUUUCUUGGUGUUACAUUUUUUUUUUCAAGUGAUUUGUUUGCUAAUUUGAUGAUUUGAUGAAGUAAUUUGAACUAAUGAAAUCAGUUAAUUUGUUACAGUUAUUUUUUUUUUCAAGUGAUUUUUUUUGCUGAAUUACAUAAUAUGUGAAUUCGUUGAAUGUUUACUGAAUUUUGUGAUCUGGUAACCAAGGAAAAUUCAGGUUAAUCGGAUGGUGAUAAUGUGUAUUAUACAGUUAAUCGAGUGGUUUGGAUUUGUGUAUGCAUGUUGAUGAGAAACUUCCAGCCCCUACACUUGAAGUAUUGGGCCCUAUAGCGAAAAUAAGUGUGGAAAGUAAGGUAAUAUCUAAAUUCUGUUGACUUACAUUCCUUCGCAAGUAUUUAUUUUCUGCAAUUCAUUUUCUACAAUCGAUCAUUGAUUUAUUAGUUUGAUUUCUGGGUUAAAUAUUGUUUUCUGGUGUUCAAUUGCAUCUUCAAAAAUCGAUUUUGCAGGUCUGUGUUGAUGGUGUUUUGUGAAAUCGACUGCAGGUUCGUGUUAAUAGGUGGCUGGUUUAAUAUCGGAAUUACCUAACAGCACAACUGCUGUUAUAACAUUGGGUAGAACAGAACAGAGGUGUAUAGGUUUAAGAGUCAGUUCAAUGAAGGGGUUAAUUAGGCUUAGAUCGGACAAUGAUGAUGGUAAUGAGGAUGAUGCGGGCGGGUCGAGUGAGAGCGAUGUGGAGGAACAUGAGCAUGAGCAUGAGCAUUUGGAGGUGGAGAAGAGAUUGAAUCAUGAUUUGAGUAGAUUGAAAUGGUUUAUCCGAACUAUGGUGGUUCGGAUCAUGUGUUGGAGAACAGAGUGGAUGAUCAGGAUGCUCAUAUAGCGCGGUUGGAGGAAAAGAAUUUGAUGGUGAAGGAGUUUGAGAAUUUGAGAGAGCAUGUUUGCAGUGUUUGGAGACGUGGAGGCAAGGAGCAGGAUCUCGAAGGUUUGUCGAAGAGGUUGUGGAGAAUGGUUCUGAGGAUGAAAGUGGGAGUCGGGGUUUUGGUAGGUCGAUUGACGGAAAUAGCGAGGCUUUUGAGGAGAACAAGAAUAAUGUUGUUAAUCAAGAAUCUGUUAAUGCAUACUGUGUUGUGGCUGCUGAAUCUGCUGGUAGACAAGUUCCAAUGGCUUUUCUUGAGCGAAUAAUGGAUGACUUAAUUGACUUUAACAACAAAUACAGUGGUGGGAAAGCUAUACAGCUGUUGCCAAUAAUCUGAACAAAGAAUUCGGACCCAAGCUGAAGGAGCAGAUGCAGCAUUGUGUGGACCAUCCUGAAGAAAUCAGCAAGCUUUCGAAGUGGCAAAAGAUGAGUGCGGUCGAAGAAAGGGUGCGCGUGACGGGAGAAAAGGUACGCGUGGCCGAUGAAAAGGUUCGGGUCAAAGAAUGGGACAUAUUGACGGUCGAUGUUGAUAGUUAUCCCGAACCAAAACGCUCUACUUUAAAGAAAAUGCAAGAGGUAAUCAUGAAAAAGUAUCAAAGUUAGGAUUUUUUUUUACGUUUAUGUUUUUUUAACUUAUGUAAUGUUUUGUUUUUUAAUAUUUUUUACGUUUAUGUUUUUUUAACUUAUGUAAUGUUUUGUUUUUUAAUAUUAAUGCAUUUUUUUC
This is a long non-coding RNA of Helianthus annuus (common sunflower), 2091 nucleotides long. RefSeq lists it as uncharacterized. The record is from RefSeq and is a predicted model, not a curated record. The transcript is spliced from 3 exons. Lineage: Eukaryota; Viridiplantae; Streptophyta; Magnoliopsida; Asterales; Asteraceae.